GAGAAUGUGAGCUAAUGAAAGUGUAAAGCCUGUGUUCACUAGAGUAUAAAAUUCACAUUUGGCCAGUACUGGCUGUGCAAUCUGAUAUUAUGAGCCCUGCUGCUGAGAGAGCAGGGGGUUGGAAAUGGCAAAAAAAGAGAGAAAAAAAUUCCAACAAGAGAGAGACACACUACGCCAGAGCACAUUUUGUGAAAUGAUUUUGUUGUAAUCAGUCUGGUUAAGUUGUUGCUAUCGUAAUUUUAACAUUAUCGUGUAAUAAGUAUGGCGAAAAGUCCAACUUCCUGGGGAAAAAAAAGGUCUGGAAUUAACAAAAAAAAAAAGUCGCAGCCGGAAAAGAAAUGUCAUCCUGGUAGCGUUAUUCAAAGAAAAGUGCAAGAGAUUAACCAAAUGCAAGACUCCAAGUAAAGGUGUUUUCUGUGAGGUUGUCGCUCAGGGCUGGAGUGGAAAGUCAAAGAGAGGUCACGGUGAUGAAGAUGGCCAGAAAGAGAGAAGUUGUGUUCAACACGACCGCAGAGGGGAAAGAUCCCACUCCACUGCAGAGAAAUCAAACUCACCUCUGGAUGUAUUUUUGUAACAUUGCUGCAGUGGGUUUUGGGAGGACUUAAAAGGGAUGUGUGGAAAGAAGGUAAUGCACAUUCAGAGUGCGAUGCGUGUUGCAUUUCAGCUGCCAGACAGCCGCUCAGCCCUUUUUCCAUCCCAGAUUUAGGUCGAACGGCUACAGAAGUGUUUUUCUCCGAAACUCUGCCUCCAGGUUCUUUUCCCAUCCCCGGCCUCGUUCAGGGAGACCUUCACACUCCAUAUCCAUGUUCCCCUCCGGCCCUUAACCUUGUUUUGGACGAAAUCAAAGACUCUACAGGUCUUUGGUCGGAUGGCAGAUGGAGGCAUCGGUACAAGCAUCUCAUAAAUAAAUUAUGCCAUGAAACAUCGAUUGCACGUCUUUUUAAACGGUUCAAGAAACAGUAAAAUGGAAAGAUUUAAAUUUGUGACAGUGAAUCCAGUCAAGCCAGGAAUAGAACAACUCAGAGAACAUGCAGAGAUGCCUGUUCUACAUCUUUUACUGAACAAGACUCUAAAAAUUAAAUGUUAAAUUUUAUUAAAACCAAGAUGCACACUGCAAAAACCAUCUAGAAAUAAUUAAACAUUUCUUAAAUUUUGUGUAUUUACCUUUAAUUUGAGUUGGUAAAAAAGAUUUGCCGAUGGAAUGAGUAUUUUCUACUGUUAAAAUAAGAUAAUUAGAUAUUUUGCUCUUGAUAUAAGAGAUUGUGGGGUUGUUUUUUUUAUUUUAUUGGCAAAAUGUCUCACUUACCUCCUCAAUUCAAGAGAAAAUGCACCUAUUUUAAGAAGAAAUUGCUUCUAUAUUGCCAGAAGUAUUUGCUCACCCAUCCAAAUUAUUGGAACCAGGUGUUCCAGUCACUUCCAUGGCCACAGAUGUAUAAAAUCAAGAACCUGGUCAUGCAGACUGUUGUUACAAACAUUUUUGAAAGAAAGGGUCACUCUGGAGCUCAGUGAAUUCCAGUGUGGAUAUGUGAUGGGAUGCCACCUCUGUUGUCUUAUAUCCUAAAUGUUGCACAAUCAACUGUCAGCGGUAUCAUCAGAAAGUUUUUGGGAAGGACAGCAACUAGGCCACAAAGUAUUAGGCCACAUAAACUGACAGGACAGGGUCAGUGGAUGCUUAAGCUAGUAGUGAGGUCACCAACUUUCUGCACUGCAAAAACCAUCUAGACUUAAGUAAAAAAAUUCUUAAACUGAGUAUAUUUGCCCUUAAUUUGAGUACAUAAAUAAGAUGAUUUGCCAAUGGAACUAGUAUUUGUACUCUUAAA
Molecule: long non-coding RNA, 1820 nt
Organism: Cyprinodon tularosa
Lineage: Eukaryota; Metazoa; Chordata; Actinopteri; Cyprinodontiformes; Cyprinodontidae
Exons: 3
Source: RefSeq, a predicted model, not a curated record